RNAcentral lists this ribosomal RNA (1069 nucleotides) under Salmonella enterica subsp. enterica serovar Infantis. RNAcentral describes it as "partial 23S ribosomal RNA". It matches the Rfam family "Bacterial large subunit ribosomal RNA", at positions 711 to 1772 of the family's 2925-position model. The record is from RNAcentral. Lineage: Bacteria; Pseudomonadati; Pseudomonadota; Gammaproteobacteria; Enterobacterales; Enterobacteriaceae.
AGACCCGAAACCCGGUGAUCUAGCCAUGGGCAGGUUGAAGGUUGGGUAACACUAACUGGAGGACCGAACCGACUAAUGUUGAAAAAUUAGCGGAUGACCUGUGGCUGGGGGUGAAAGGCCAAUCAAACCGGGAGAUAGCUGGUUCUCCCCGAAAGCUAUUUAGGUAGCGCCUCGUGAAUUCAUCUCCGGGGGUAGAGCACUGUUUCGGCUAGGGGGCCAUCCCGGCUUACCAACCCGAUGCAAACUGCGAAUACCGGAGAAUGUUAUCACGGGAGACACACGGCGGGUGCUAACGUCCGUCGUGAAGAGGGAAACAACCCAGACCGCCAGCUAAGGUCCCAAAGUCAUGGUUAAGUGGGAAACGAUGUGGGAAGGCCCAGACAGCCAGGAUGUUGGCUUAGAAGCAGCCAUCAUUUAAAGAAAGCGUAAUAGCUCACUGGUCGAGUCGGCCUGCGCGGAAGAUGUAACGGGGCUAAACCAUGCACCGAAGCUGCGGCAGCGACACUCAGGUGUUGUUGGGUAGGGGAGCGUUCUGUAAGUCUGCGAAGGUGGCCUGUGAGGGUUGCUGGAGGUAUCAGAAGUGCGAAUGCUGACAUAAGUAACGAUAAAGCGGGUGAAAAGCCCGCUCGCCGGAAGACCAAGGGUUCCUGUCCAACGUUAAUCGGGGCAGGGUGAGUCGACCCCUAAGGCGAGGCCGAAAGGCGUAGUCGAUGGGAAACGGGUUAAUAUUCCCGUACUUGGUGUUACUGCGAAGGGGGGACGGAGAAGGCUAUGUUGGCCGGGCGACGGUUGUCCCGGUUUAAGCGUGUAGGUGUGUGUUCCAGGUAAAUCCGGUUCACUUUAACACUGAGGCGUGACGACGAGGCACUACGGUGCUGAAGCAACAAAUGCCCUGCUUCCAGGAAAAGCCUCUAAGCAUCAGGUAACAUCAAAUCGUACCCCAAACCGACACAGGUGGUCAGGUAGAGAAUACCAAGGCGCUUGAGAGAACUCGGGUGAAGGAACUAGGCAAAAUGGUGCCGUAACUUCGGGAGAAGGCACGCUGACACGUAGGUGAAGUGAUUUACUC